Molecule: non-coding RNA, 119 nt
Organism: Triticum aestivum (bread wheat)
Lineage: Eukaryota; Viridiplantae; Streptophyta; Magnoliopsida; Poales; Poaceae
Source: Rfam
GGAUGCGAUCAUACCAGCACUAAAGCACCGGAUCCCAUCAGAACUCCGAAGUUAAGCGUGCUUGGGCGAGAGUAGUACUUGGAUGGGUGACCUCCUGGGAAGUCCUCGUGUUGCAUUCC